GUAACGACUCUCGGCAACGGAUAUCUCGGCUCUCGCAUCGAUGAAGAACGUAGCGAAAUGCGAUACUUGGUGUGAAUUGCAGAAUCCCGUGAACCAUCGAGUCUUUGAACGCAAGUUGCGCCCGAAGCCAUUUGGCCGAGGGCACGCCUGCCUGGGCGUCACGC
Molecule: ribosomal RNA, 164 nt
Filed under: Salvia gracilipes
Lineage: Eukaryota; Viridiplantae; Streptophyta; Magnoliopsida; Lamiales; Lamiaceae
Description: 5.8S ribosomal RNA
Rfam family: 5.8S ribosomal RNA
About the family: 5.8S ribosomal RNA (5.8S rRNA) is a component of the large subunit of the eukaryotic ribosome.
Source: RNAcentral